This 87-nucleotide transfer RNA is filed under the name Alcanivorax sp. VBW004. RNAcentral's name for it is "tRNA-Leu". It matches the Rfam family "tRNA". Rfam says of the family: Transfer RNA (tRNA) molecules are approximately 80 nucleotides in length. RNAcentral also lists the same sequence under 5 other names. The record is from RNAcentral. Lineage: Bacteria; Pseudomonadati; Pseudomonadota; Gammaproteobacteria; Oceanospirillales; Alcanivoracaceae.
GCGGGUAUGGUGAAAUUGGUAGACACAACAGACUUAAAAUCUGUCGACCAUUAGGUCAUGCCGGUUCAAGUCCGGCUACCCGCACCA